AACCUUAUGGACCUGCGGGCGUAUACCUGCGGAAGGAUCAUUACCGAGUUAUACAACUCAUCAACCCCUGUGAACUUACCUACAACGUUGCUUCGGCGGGAACAGACGGCCCCGUAAAACGGGCCGCCCCCGCCAGAGGACCCCUAACUCUGUUUUUAUAAUGUUUUUCUGAGUAAACAAGCAAAUAAAUUAAAACUUUCAACAACGGAUCU
RNAcentral lists this unclassified non-coding RNA (212 nucleotides) under soil metagenome. RNAcentral's name for it is "partial contains 5.8S ribosomal RNA, internal transcribed spacer 2, and large subunit ribosomal RNA". The record is from RNAcentral.